This 252-nucleotide ribosomal RNA is filed under the name uncultured bacterium. RNAcentral describes it as "partial 16S ribosomal RNA". It matches the Rfam family "Bacterial small subunit ribosomal RNA", at positions 524 to 775 of the family's 1533-position model. The record is from RNAcentral.
UACGUAGGGUGCAAGCGUUGUCCGGAAUUAUUGGGCGUAAAGCGCACGUAGGCGGUUCGUUAAGUCGGAUGUGAAAGCCCUCGGCUCAACUGAGGAAGUGCACCCGAAACUGGCGAGCUUGAGUACGAAAGAGGAUCGCGGAAUUCCCGGUGUAGAGGUGAAAUUCGUAGAUAUCGGGAGGAACACCGGUGGCGAAGGCGGCGAUCUGGGUCGAUACUGACGCUGAGGUGCGAAAGCGUGGGGAGCAACAGG